AGUGAACGCUGGCGGUAGGCCUAACACAUGCAAGUCGAACGGCAGCACAGGAGAGCCUGCUCUCUAGGUGGCGAGUGGCGGACGGGUGAGGAAUACAUCGGAAUCUGCCCAGUCGUGGGGGAUAACGUAGGGAAACUUACGCUAAUACCGCAUACGACCUUCGGGUGAAAGAGGGGGAUCGCAAGACCUCUCGCGAUUGGAUGAGCCGAUGUCGGCUUAGCUAGUUAGCGGGGUAAUGGCCCACCAAGGCGACGAUCCGUAGCUGGUCUGAGAGGAUGAUCAGCCACACUGGAACUGAGACACGGUCCAGACUCCGACGGGAGGCAGCAGUGGGGAAUAUUGGACAAUGGGCGCAAGCCUGAUCCAGCCAUACCGCGUGGGUGAAGAAGGCCUUCGGGUUGUAAAGCCCUUUUGUUGGGAAAGAAAUCUUUCAGGCUAAUACCCUGGGAGGAGGACGGUACCCAAAGAAUAAACACCGGCGAACUUCGU
RNAcentral lists this ribosomal RNA (489 nucleotides) under uncultured bacterium. RNAcentral describes it as "partial 16S ribosomal RNA". It matches the Rfam family "Bacterial small subunit ribosomal RNA", at positions 29 to 506 of the family's 1533-position model. The record is from RNAcentral.